This is a long non-coding RNA of Eptatretus burgeri (inshore hagfish), 4037 nucleotides long. NCBI's taxonomy places the organism in Eukaryota, Metazoa, Chordata, Myxini, Myxiniformes, Myxinidae. The record is from Ensembl.
GAUGACGAAGCGAAAGUGUGGAAAAAGAUCCGUUCGGGGAAUUCCGCUGCACGUGGGACUGGAAGAGGCUCAAAAAGGGCGCGCACCAGAGCUUUUGCUGCAACUUGAUUGUUUCUCAAACUCUCUCUUGGACCUGCGCUGCGAACCCUCCAGAUGCCUCAGCUCGUGACAUCAUUGGUGUUUUUUGGCGCCCUUACUGGCAUUGAAAUUGCUUGCAGUCUCCAUCCUCUGUUUCUCAACGUUGGUAAUUUGCAGAAACAUGUCCACAACUAUGUUCCUGCUAUGGUAAGAGGUUGGAAGGUAGAUUCUUGAAGUGAACUUUAUUGGAGUGUUUUGACCCAAGGGGACUGACUAGAUGAUGCCCUGUUUGUGAUUGCAAUCACUCAUAAUUGAUCAAGGCUGAUUAAUCGACGAGCAAGAACACCGAUCACAGGGAGUCGAUUAUAAUGGAAUCUUGACGUUUUCUUUGAUAAUAGAGGAGGGAGUUUGGGGUUUGAGGGACAAAGGAUUGCCAGGAGGGGGAGGGCAGGGAGCAUCUUACCCCAGCAUUUCUCCACUUACACGUGAGACUGACACGGAAUGUAAAUGGUGGAGGUGUACUGGACGUGAAUGUAUCGGGGUUUUUUGUACCAAUACGAGUUUAGUAUCUUCCCCAUAUAUGACUCGUUUUACACCAAUGAUGCACUUUGACCCGAGGCUGGAGACUAACAGAUCAUUCUAUCUUUUCAGUUGAUCAAUUUCCCCAAAGAUUACUUCAUGAAUGUGACUCCAUUUCGGACAUUAAAAGAUGAAGACAACAAUCCGAUCAUUUGCAAUGUGGUUUGGACGAUGCUUCAAUGCCGAAAUGAUCUGGAUAAUCUGCUGAAACAACUCCAUGAGAUGCAUCCUAUGUACAAUUUCACCAAAUCCUUGAUAAAUUCUCUAUCGAGUACACUCCAUCAUCUGAAUAUGGGUGGUGAUUCUGCUGAUAACGGGAUGCACGAGCACCUAAAGAAUAAAAAAACACCAGCAUCACUGAUCGUGGAAAUGCAAGGCCUCUUCAGCAUUCUGCAAAGCACGGGAUUAAACAACUUUCAUGAGUGGAAUUGUUCCGAUCGCAGUCAAUUCCACGAUUCUGUCUCAGCAUUGCCUACUUCAGUCUAUGAUCAGCCUGCAACCACUCUGACUACAAAAACAAUGGCACCAACACCAACAUUUUCACCUCCACAAACAUCAGCAGCUCUUCCACAUCCUCGAUCCACUGCCAGUUCUGUGACCGAGCCUUUUUACAUCCACAACAAUGCAGACAUAACACCUAACAGCGAUGCUGAUGUGCACCACAGUUUCUCAGAAGACACAGCAUCGACCACGGACAAAGAUGGGCGCGCAGCUUCCACUCCUGCCUCUGAAAGUUCCGUUGGCAAUACUAUUGAGGAAACCACGAAAAAUGCGGACAAGGUACUUCCGAGCACGGUUUCAAUCACCAUCGUGGAGAAAAAAAGGAGUUUAAAGUUAUUACCAACGAAGAAAACGAUACCCACACACCAUACAAUUGGCAAACGAGACACACACAACCGAAGCCUUAGAGGUGGUGAAGCACAGACUCCACCGAUUGCUACCCCAAAUCCUCAAGGGUCCACUUCGACGGCUCAUCAGCUGCAUCUCACAUCCUGGGGACUUGUCUUUGCUCUCCUCUCGCCCAUUCUCUCAAACAUAGCAUGAGAUUCCCGACGUUUCAUUUUCCUCUCAGUAUUAUUUUGCGGACAUUGAAAAAACAGAUCUACGAGGAAAUACCAGGAAACUUAGACAAGAGUCCACAGUUACUUGUAUCUUCCAUUUUUGUAGGUGUGCUUGAUAUUUAGUAUUCGACGAGGGAAGUGUUUCAAUUCUCUCGUAUUGCUUAAAAUCUCCUAAGAUGGGUAUCGGAAGGUAGAACAAGACCCUUGACAUAGGGUCCCCUGAGUAAUCGGUUUCUUUUUCUUCGAGGUUCACCUUUCAUAGACCGAGUUGUGAUGUUAUCAAGUUCUAGUACAAAACGUUUUCAGGUGUUCCGUGUCAUAGCAGCGGCUCAAAGGACUCUCUUAAGGAAGUUAAUCCAGCUGUGUCGACUUCAUUGCUUUGUAGAUGACGUAUGAGUAUCGGGUUGUUAUUUUUUUGUCCAGGUGUUCAUGCAGGUACCAUGAAGUUGCUAAUUUAGUUCAUUUUGAGGUUGCCAAUUCCUCAAUUGGUGGGACACUCGGUGAAGCACAGGCAGAUUUGGGUGGUCAGAUUUGUUCAGACGAAACCUCGCACCUUUAUUAAGGUACUAAUGCAUCUUUUAUUUGUAAUAUUAUUAUUGUGAGGAUGUGGCCUCAAUGCCUACAGUUGCGCACUAAGGAGGAAUUUCAUUUACUUGAGUGAGUUUUGUUCCACUUGUUUUUCAGGUUGUGUUGUGUGCAUAGGAAAAAUGUCUUACACCUGUGUUGUAAAACGGUGUCCCGAUUGAAACAAACACAUUUUAUUGUUUCAGAGCAAAAUUACAGUCUCGACUCUAGUGUGAUCUGUUGUAAUUACCACAAAUUAUCCACUGAUGUCAUGUGGGACGACAUUGCCUCUUGACAUCAUAUUGCUAUCCCUACGUGUUGUUUGAUGGAAACAUGAUUGUGCACAAUGGAUUAUAAAAUAAAUUAUUUUCUUUAAUCUCCUUAAUGUUGACAAGAUGGCUUAGAGGUAGGUACGCACACUCGCUUCAAGGUUGUCUAGCCUGGGUUCGAUUUCCGACCCAACUAUGAACCGUCAGUCUGGUGUUUCACAGGCAGGGUGAUUCAUCAAUGUGUGCUGUCCCUUGGAAGGACGUCAAACGGACGUCCCGUCUGUUAGUAUUAGUUGAUGGACGUUAAAGAUCCCAUGGUGUCCUUCUUCAAGAGUAGGCAAGGUAUCGUCGGUACCAUGGCCAAAUUCCAAAUUCCUGCCCCCAACAAGUCGAGCAUCAGGCCUGGCCAGCCUGUUCGUGAAGACUCGGGCCAAGCCUCCCCUGGCCGCCCCCACAACAAAGGUGGGAUAUUGGUGGCCAUUAAAGAAGAAUUCGAAUUUUCCAAAUCUUGAGCUGUUGCAGCACUUUUAAACGAUUAUCUAACCCUAACCCUAACGUCAAUUUCACAGUGUCCAUGAGUGACAGGUGUGAAGCGAGGCCACCAGGCCAUAGGAGAAAGCAGUACUUCACAGUCAACGGCCUUGUAGCCAAUGGGAAGCUCAGUUUUACAAAGAGUCAAGCACCUGGGCAUCCAAAGUUAAGUGGCACGGACAGUAUUUGUUCUGAUGAUCAGACACCAGGCCAUCUGAGUAGAGUAAAUGUUUAACUUAGAAACUAAAUAGCUUUCGCCAAAAUACAAUUAAUUAACCAUGGUGGAGUCACAUUAAUGGUGGUGACAUAUGAAUUAUCUUGGUGGGAUCCCAUAAGCCCUAUGGCAGGGAAUAGAGCUCUCAUGACAAGUCGUGAGUGUUUCGAAGGAUAUAGUUAAUCCAGGACAGGUCACCACUCCAUUGUAGGGUGUAGCGUUUCCUCUUGGCAGCUUUGCUAAUUGAGCCUACACUAGUGGGAGCAAAUCAAUAAGACUUUAUCCAUGCCACCACCCAACAAGGCUUUACCCACUCCACCACCCAACAAAGCUUUACCCACUCCACCACCCAACACAUCCUUACCCAUUCCACCACCCAACACAUCCUUACCCAUUCCACCACCCAACAAGGCUUUAUAUCCACUCUACCACUGAAUUAAUCAAGCUCUGGCCAUACCAACACUGAACCACUCACUGUUCACUCCGAGGAAUUGUGAAAUUGAACAUUUGUAAAUACUUUACAUAAUAUCAUAUUCAUUUAUGCUUCUCAUUCUUGUUGACCUCAUACCUCCCCUCCAUUUCCCGCCCAAAGAACAACAACGAUGUGUGUGAUAAAGCUGUGAAUUUACAUUUUAUUUACCUUGCAAAGUUUGUUUUAUAUUUUUAUCAAAUUAUUUAUGUCGAUGUUGUAUUUUUUUAAACAACUGUUACAAUGAAAUAAAUAUUGUUCAGAGCCCCAUU